CCUACGGGAGGCAGCAGUGGGGAAUUUUCCGCAAUGGGCGAAAGCCUGGCGGAGCAAUACCGCGUGAGGGAAGAAAGCCUACUGGGUUGUAAACCUCUUUUUUUCAGGGAGGAAAAAAAUGACGUGUACCUGAAGAAUAAGCAUCGGCUAACUCCGUGCCAGCAGCCGCGGUAAGACGGAGGAUGCAAGUGUUAUCCGGAAUUACUGGGCGUAAAGCGUCUGUAGGUGGUUUAAUAAGUCAACUGUUAAAUCUUGAGGCUUAACUUCGAAACAGCAGUCGAAACUAUUAGACUAGAGUAUAGUAGGGGUAAAGGGAAUUUCCAGUGGAGCGGUGAAAUGCGUAGAUAUUGGAAAGAACACCGAUGGCGAAAGCACUUUACUGGGCUAUUACUAACACUCAGAGACGAAAGCUAGGGUAGCAAAUGGGAUUAGAUACCCCAGUAGUCCUAGCUGUAAACAAUGGAUACUAGAUGUUGAACAGAUCGACCUGUGCAGUAUUAAAGCUAACGCGUUAAGUAUCCCGCCUGGGAAGUAUGCUCGCAAGAGUGAAACUCAAAAGUAGUUAGUACGGACGUGUAGACGUAGCCGAACGGACGACACGACGGGGAGGUAAGG
RNAcentral lists this ribosomal RNA (615 nucleotides) under uncultured bacterium. Its description in RNAcentral is "bacterial SSU rRNA". It matches the Rfam family "Bacterial small subunit ribosomal RNA", at positions 338 to 1255 of the family's 1533-position model. The record is from RNAcentral.